UCCAGGGUAGCCUAGUGGACAUGGCAUCUGCCCGGUAAGCAGAACACUGUGGGUUCGAUUCCCAUCCCUGGAU
Cordylochernes scorpioides is the source of this 73-nucleotide non-coding RNA. The record is from the annotation of a GenBank genome assembly. NCBI's taxonomy places the organism in Eukaryota, Metazoa, Arthropoda, Arachnida, Pseudoscorpiones, Chernetidae.